UACGUAGGGUGCGAGCGUUAAUCGGAAUUACUGGGCGUAAAGCGUGCGCAGGCGGCGCGUUAAGUCAGGUGUGAAAGCCCCGAGCUUAACUUGGGAAUUGCGCUUGUGACUGGCGUGCUGGAGUGUGGCAGAGGGAGGUGGAAUUCCACGUGUAGCAGUGAAAUGCGUAGAGAUGUGGAGGAACACCGAUGGCGAAGGCAGCCUCCUGGGCCAGCACUGACGCUGAGGCGCGAAAGCUAGGGUAGCAAACGGG
RNAcentral lists this ribosomal RNA (253 nucleotides) under uncultured bacterium. RNAcentral describes it as "partial 16S ribosomal RNA". It matches the Rfam family "Bacterial small subunit ribosomal RNA", at positions 524 to 776 of the family's 1533-position model. The record is from RNAcentral.